UGGGGAAUCUUGCGCAAUGGGCGAAAGCCUGACGCAGCCAUGCCGCGUGAAUGAUGAAGGUCUUAGGAUUGUAAAAUUCUUUCACCGGGGACGAUAAUGACGGUACCCGGAGAAGAAGCCCCGGCUAACUUCGUGCCAGCAGCCGCGGUAAUACGAAGGGGGCUAGCGUUGCUCGGAAUUACUGGGCGUAAAGGGCGCGUAGGCGGAUCGUUAAGUCAGAGGUGAAAUCCCAGGGCUCAACCCUGGAACUGCCUUUGAUAAUGGCGAGCUUGAAUAGGAGAGAGGUAUGUGGAACUCCGGGUUUAGAGGUGAAAUUCGUAGAUAUUCGGAAGAACACCAGUGGCGAAGGCGACAUACUGGCUCAAUACUGACGCUGAGGCGCGAAAGCGUGGGGAGCAAACAGG
Molecule: ribosomal RNA, 404 nt
Filed under: bacterium
Lineage: Bacteria
Description: partial 16S ribosomal RNA
Rfam family: Bacterial small subunit ribosomal RNA
Source: RNAcentral